AUGAGGCAAGUCAUUAAGUUGCAAGCCUAUUAUCCUGAAAGUCAAAUUAAAUCAAUUCGGAUGGACAAUGCUGCAGAAUUCUCCUCACGUGCUUUCAAUGAUUAUUGCAUGGCUUUGGGGAUUGAAGUUCAGCACUCUGUUUCAUAUGUCCAUACACAAAAUGGUUUGGCUGAAGCAUUGAUUAAGAGGAUCAAACUCAUUGCAAGACCUUUGUUGACGAAUUGCAACUUGCCAACCUCUUGUUGGGGUCACGCUGUUUUACACGCUGCUGACUUGAUACAAUUGAGGCCAACUGCAUAUCACAGUUCUUCCCCUCUGGAAUUGGUACGUGGAAAUCCUCCAAGCAUUUCCCAUCUGCGUAAGUUCGAAUGUGCUGCAUACAUCCGGAUCUCACCACCACAGCGGACAUCUAUGGGCCCACACAGGAAGUUGGGGAUCUAUGUGGGGUACAAAUCGCCGUCGAUUAUCAAGUACAUGGUGUAA
RNAcentral lists this ribosomal RNA (483 nucleotides) under Triticum aestivum (bread wheat). Its description in RNAcentral is "partial small subunit ribosomal RNA". Lineage: Eukaryota; Viridiplantae; Streptophyta; Magnoliopsida; Poales; Poaceae. The record is from RNAcentral.